Molecule: non-coding RNA, 6072 nt
Organism: Microcebus murinus (gray mouse lemur)
Lineage: Eukaryota; Metazoa; Chordata; Mammalia; Primates; Cheirogaleidae
Source: RefSeq, a predicted model, not a curated record
CUUCUUUUUCUUCUUUUUUCUUCUCUUCCUCAUUCUCCUUCUUUUUAAUAGGCUAAAUUAUAUUUUAAAAGUUGGUUAAUUGAAACAACCACCAGGUGUAGGCAAUUAUAAAGAAAAUGUUAGGUAAGGAAAUAGAGGUUCAUUUUUGAUGCAGCCAAGAGUGAUAAAACUUAGGAAAACAAAUAAAUUUGAUUUUAUUUUAAAAGAUCUAAACUCCCUAUAUAAAGAAAGCAUUUACUUGGAAAUGAUUUAUCUGACCCUCUCUUUGUUACACUUGUUCAUGGUGUUUCUUUGCUAGAUUGUUAGCUCCUCAAUGGCCAGCGCUAUUGCAUUGGUGUCUUGUACAUAGCAGGUUCUUCAUAUGUAUGUGAUAAAUCAAUAAAUUUUUGAGAAAGUAAUAUUCCAAGAUUAUAAGGGUAGCACAUCAAAUAAUAUCUUUUUAAAACUUCAUCUUUUCCCAAGUCAGCCACAUUAUCCAGUCUUUACAUCUACAUAUUUGCAUUGUCAUUUCCUUGGCGAUUCUCUUUUUCUAAUUUGAUACCACUGCCUCCUUGAUAGUCUGGGCUUUCACUUUUUAAAAAAUGGCCUUGUAAAUAAUGGUUCACUUGAAAAUUCUAUCCCCUAUAAAUAACUGAUAUUAUAAAUAUUUAUAUUAGACCUGCACACUGAAUGUAAAUGUGUACAAUCAAGGGAAGCAGUUAGGCUUCACCAUAACUAGCUCUCAAGUCCCUUUCCAAAUAUGUUUGGAAAAGUAUUAUCUCCUCUUCCAAUUAUUAGAUGUGCUUUGAGCAAUUUUUAUGAAUUGAUGGCACUGGAUUUUAUUUCAGGAUAGAAUAAAUAUUAUUGGAGAAUUGUGCAGAAAUAACUUUAUAAGCUACAGAGCAGGUGGGAGGAAAUAUCCAGCGAUUUCUUGACUGACCAUAAUGGUGAUUUAAAUUAAAGACUUGAGUCUAACAACAACAAAAUACAGCAGGUCCUGGAAUAAUGUCUUUUCUUCAACAUUGUUUCAUUGUAAUGUUAAUGAGAAAAAAAUUCGCUGCCCAGCUGGGGCCACCGUCUGUGUAAAGUUUGUACAUUCUCCCCACAUCUGUACAAAUUUCAUCUGGGUACUCUUGAUUCCUUUCACAUCCCAAAGGUGCACACGUUACACGGAUUGCGCAGUCUGAGCGGGUGUAGGUGUGGGCCGAGUGCACCCUGCGAUAGAUGAGGCCUCCUGUCCGGGGCUGGUUCCCCGUGAGCCCUGAGCUACCUGGAUAGGCUCUGGCCACGCACAGCCCUGAACUGGAUAAGUGGAGACAUAUAUGGAAGCAGAAGCUAUGAAUUAUAAAAGACCUUGAUUCCAAUCCCGACUCCAGAUAAGUAUUGACCUUGCUUUGUGCUACCUACACAUAUGAUAUACAUCUUUUAUGGAACACAAGGACUCAGUACUUCCAGCUUAUGAAUGUAUUUGAUGGCCAAGGUACUAAUUGCCUUACUUCAUACAAAGAAUGUGUGUGUGUGUGUGUGUGUGUGUGUGUGUUUUAAAGAGUGUGGUUUGUUUCUUGCAAGCUAUAUGACUUUGUUACCCAAAGUGUUGGAGAAUUAGCCAGUGUGGAAAAAAAAAAUCCAUGUGUCUGGUCAUAGAAGUAGUUCUGUGUUGAGUUGAGAGCACAGUAGGAGAAAACAGUUGUUUUUUCCUACUAUAUUAAUAAUCCCCAAAUUAAUUCUAAAGAAUAUUUCCUUUUACAAAGUAAGUCAUGGAAAUUCCUAUUACAGUCUUCCAUUCCAGGUUGUAGAGAAAAAUUUUAUGGUCGCAACUUAAUUUUUAAAAUAUAAAAUCUCUUUUUAUCUCUUUUUAAUAGAGGGAAUAUAUAAGUUCCAUCCAUGGCUACAUUAAUGGCCCCAAAUUAUACUGUUUCCUGGAGUUUCUGGGGAAAUGAGCCAUACCAUAUAUCAUUAUCAUUCUUGAUCAUAUUAAUAGCCUUAAUUAUUCCAUUUUAUACAUAAUAAUAUGGAUUUUAUUAAUUUCCUUAUGCUUGGAGUCAAGAAUUUUAAUGGAGGCCUUAUAAAUGUUUUAAUAGGCACACACAUAUUAAUAUUAUAUUUAAAACUGUAUCUAGAUUCAAAGACAAACAUUGUGUUAGCUUUAACCUAAGAGAGAGGAAAAGAAAAAUCAAAAUGGAUGUUUAUAAUUUUUUCACCUCCAAUAAUUAAUUUUUAUAUUUACCAAAAUCAUAUAUUCAAGUAGUGCUUUGGUAUAAAUACAAAAGUGCUUUGUACAUAAAUAUAAGGGACUAUGCUAUGUCGGAUCAUACGUGCAUUUAUAUUGGACUAUUUCUCUGAAUUCUUUAUGUAUUACAGAAAACUUAGUCAUCCAAACAAGGUUUUUGGCUUGGUUCAUUCAGUUCUACAACUUCCGUUUUUACCAUCCUGUCUGUGAGAGAAGGUAUUUGAGGCAGAAGUGCUUGCCUGAGGCCAAGGAGGUUGUGUGGGCUCAAGUACAUGCAUGUUAACUCUGAGUGAAAACAUCUUGCCUCUGAAGAAAUUCAUAAUUUGUAACAGUUUGAAAGAUCUCACUCUAAGUGGGAAGAAGCCAUUUGGGGAAUAGAUUGGGUAUGCGUAAGAAAUGACGAAGUGAUAAAAGAAGUUUGGUGCCAAGUUCUUCUGUUACAGACACCCAGUAUAGUAGUUCUGAUAUAAAAUACAUUUCCUCCUUUUUUUUGGUCUUUCCUUUCCCAAUGAUGAAAAAUGAGCCAUCUUUUUGGAAUGGGAAGUUACUGGAGAGGGACCGGCUUAUGAGAAAAGCAGGUUUGGUGUGUGAGAUCACAUCCUGUGCCCAGUAAAGGUGGAGUUUACUCUAGCACUCCUUUAUUACAUGCUAAACCAGUAGUUUCACAUGAAACUGAUAUGCUUUGCCCUUUACGGAAUCCUUAGCUCCUCCUGUUUAUAUUUAGGGUGGAUAUAAUAUGAUCCUGUAGGAAUUAACGUCUAUAAAUCGCCAUUGGCUUACAAGCUUAAGAAGAUGUUUUUAAUAACAUGUAAACUCUUGGUCAUUAUAUUAAGUUAGUAAUCCUCAACUGGGAAUAAUUUUACCCCCCAGGGGGGGUAUUUGUUAAUUGUUGGAGACAUUUUUGAUCGUCACAAUGUGGGGGUGGGUAGGUGGUGUUACAGGCAUGUAGUGGGUAGGGUGUUGCUAAACAUACUUUGCACCCGAUACUCCACAACAAAGAAUUAUCUGGCCCCACAUACCAAUAAUGCUGAGGUCGAGAAACCCUGAAUUAAAGAAAGAGUUUUUUCUUGGAGAAAGAGUGGGUUGUUUCUGAACAUAUUCAGCCUUAUAACAAACUCAGAGCAGCAAAUAACAUGAGCUCCUUUCCUUAAGGUGUUUGGUUUUAUGGAAAAACAGAAUAAAAUUAAAUGAAUGUAGUAUGGGCUUAGAUAGUAGUAUACAGAAGGAAUUUCAGGAUUACAGAGGAAAAAUACUUUGAGAGAUUAAGGAAGGCCUAUUUUUAGUAGAAAUCAUUUACAUGAUAAAAUGUGCUAUAGCAAUUUAGUUGCUUUCAGUUGCAAGUAGCAGAAAAAUUUGUCAAAAAUGUUGUAGAAUGGUGCACAUAACUGAAAAGUCCAGAGGUAAAGUGAUCUUCAGUGUUGGUUUGUUUCUUCAGCUCAGUGACGUCAUUGAGGACCUUACAUCUCCCUUUCUUUCCUCUGCUUUCCAGAACGUUAAGCUUCAGUUUAAGUUUUAUUCUCCCUCACAUUUAUAAGAUGGUUACACAUCAGUGGUGAGAGAGCGUCAAUUCUAGAACCCUCUCAGAAGAGUCGGGACAUUUUAAAAAUAUAGUCCCCACCUUAUGUCUCAUGGGGCUCUGAUUGGGUUAUCUGAAUGAAUAACUGUAACCAGGGUGGAAAAAUCACACUGAUUAGCUAGAGCCCAACCAACUUCAAAGCAUAGAACAAGGGAAAUGUGGAUAUUUAAACGAAAAUGGGAAUAACUACUGAAAGAAACAAAAAUAGACGGUAGCAAGGCAACCAUGUCCACCAUAUGCUAGAAGAAUACUAAAGGCAUAAGAAACAGCAUAGAUAACGACAGAGAGAAAAGAAAGAGCAGAGCCUGCUCAAAUUUGACCUGUAAUGCAGCUGAUAUGGCUGGAAUCCAGGAGGUACGGUGGGAAGCAGGAGCAAAUGUAGUUUGAAAGGUGGGCAAGGGCCAGGUCAUAAAAUGCUGUGAUAAGAACUUUAUUCUGCAGACAAUUCAGAGCCAUUAAAGAAUUUUAAACAGAGGAAUGACAUGACGAGAAUUGUGUGUUUGACAAAUGUCUCUGGUGAUAUUGAGAAGGAUGGAAAGGAGGAAGUUGAGACUGGGAGCAAAGAGAACUCUGUAAUUUGGGGCAGUUGACCUAACAGGUUAUUUAUGAGCCUUUAUUUGUAAUAUGGAAAUGAUUAUACUUUCUGGUGAUAAAGAUUAAAUAUGAUAAAAUAUGGGAAAUACCACACAGCAGGUAAUCAAAAUGCUAGUUGUCACUUGUUCAAAUAUGUGUAAUCACUGGUUUUGCAUUUCAUCUACACCAACAUAGUGUAUGGACUUGUUCAAAUUAUUUACCUUGAAUAAGACUAUAUUUUCUUACUAGGUCUUAUCACAUUAUUAGGAUUAAAUGAGAUCAUGCUUAUGAAAAUCACAAUGUAACUGAAAUAGACUAUAACACGACAAGUCACUGUAAUUGAUUGUACUAUAAGAGAUGGCAAAAAGGUAGGCAGAGUGAAAGUAUAUUUUAGAGAAAGGAUCAACAAGAUUUGCUAAUAGAGUUAAUAUAGAGGGUAUGGGAAAGGGAGAAAUCAAUUAUGCCUCCUAGUUUUUUAGUGUGAACAGCUGGGUAGAUUGUGAUUUCAUCUACUGAGAUAGAGAAGGUUUGGUGUACAGGUGAGGACCAGGUAUUUCAUGUCUCAGACAUUUAAAGUUUUAAAUGUUGGUAAAAUAUGUAAGUUGAGAAGAAAUUGGAUGUGUAAGUCUGUAGUUUAGAGAAGUCUGCACCAGAAAUAUAGAUAUGGCUGUUGAUGGCAUAUCUAUAGUGGUCACACCAAGGGAACUAUGAGAUCAGCUGAGAGAAGAGAAAAGGAAGACAUCAGAGAGAAUGCAAGAUGUAAAGAAAUUAAAGAUAAGCCAAAGAGACAGACAUAGAGGUCAACGGCACAGGGAAAGAAGUCAGGAGCUUGUAAGUUUCUGAGAAGGAAGGCAUGCCCGGCUGCAUCAAACUCUGAUUAGAGUUUGACUUUUCACUCUUCUCUCUGUCCCCUACUCUGUAGUCUCCCUCCAGAAUCUGCCAGCAAAUAGGAGUUCAAACCAGUUGAGCCCCCCCACGAUGGCUUUGUGGGCUGGGAGCUUCCCUGCCCAGGAUCCCACCCUGGGCUGGGAGCAUGACCUCACUGUGGGGUGAGGGGUGCUCCACAAGUGUGCUCCCACUAGGGCUUAUGCAGCACUCUCUUUUCAGUUUUGCCCAUGUGGCUCCCUCACCUCCCAAGAUUAGUUCAAAAUCUCCCCUCCAUGCCCCUAAGCAACAUGAUUGAGUCCUGAGGGUACAAGAUCUGGCUUGUGGGCCAGUACCUGGGUCCCCAAAAAUCAAUCCCUGACUGUGCUGGGGAGAAGCAUGCUGGUCACAAGUUGCCUAUGGGCUGCUCAAGCAGUUUGAUGUCCCUCCGCUUUGGCUUCAGGGUGUACCCUGCUUUGAUGGAGCAGCUUGGCGAGCAGCACUGGGAAGGGCUGGUGCCCAGGGAGGUCACAGUCCGAGCAACCCUUAGUCUGUGGCAGGUCUUUAAGAGGGAAAGUUUGAGCCCCACUCUCUGUGGAAGCCUCAGUGUGAUGGGUGCACCAAUGGACGGGAAGCAACUGCUCCCAAGAGCAGUUUUGGUCAUCUCUGUCCCCAGAGCUUGGACAUUCUGGGUGGGCUGCCUUUUAGAGGGGGACAGAGAUGACCAGUGUGCUAGCUUUGCCUCAUUCAGAUUCUUUUCCUCCCCUUCCAUUCCCCUACCCGUGGCUACCCAGAGAGAAGAUUGAGCUCUCAUUACCACAAACUCGAGCCAAGAUGGCAGGCACCAAGA